This 374-nucleotide small RNA is filed under the name Arabidopsis thaliana (thale cress). RNAcentral describes it as "ATSL154940". Lineage: Eukaryota; Viridiplantae; Streptophyta; Magnoliopsida; Brassicales; Brassicaceae. The record is from RNAcentral.
UAACCUAAGAACAUCAAAUCAACUUGAUCCCAAGCCAUCAUCACCAUUGACGUUGAGAUCUGAGUUGUUGGAGCGUGUGGUUUUGUUUUAGAUCACGUACAAGUGUGAAGUGAAAGCGAACGUCACGGAUCAUCACCGUUAAACAACGGCUUGAUUGGGUAAGGAAAACCUAAUCCAUUUAUGCCUUAUUUCUACUGGAAUUGUCUCUCUUAGCCAUUGAAUUUGUGGCAGAUAGAUCAAGUUAGCUUUUGGAUUUUUGUGUGAAUAUGUGAAAGAAAGAAACAGUUCAAGUGGUGGAAUUGGUGAUCCGUUUCCCGUCACGUCCGAAGGAGUUUGGACGAGUUCUUAACGGUUCUGAAUAGAUCUCGUUCCCA